This 793-nucleotide ribosomal RNA is filed under the name uncultured bacterium. Its description in RNAcentral is "bacterial SSU rRNA". It matches the Rfam family "Bacterial small subunit ribosomal RNA", at positions 8 to 798 of the family's 1533-position model. The record is from RNAcentral.
AGAGUUUGAUCCUGGCUCAGAUUGAACGCUGGCGGCAUGCCUUACACAUGCAAGUCGAACGGUAACAGGUCUUCGGAUGCUGACGAGUGGCGAACGGGUGAGUAAUACAUCGGAACGUGCCCGAUCGUGGGGGAUAACGGAGCGAAAGCUUUGCUAAUACCGCAUACGAUCUACGGAUGAAAGCAGGGGACCGCAAGGCCUUGCGCGGACGGAGCGGCCGAUGGCAGAUUAGGUAGUUGGUGGGAUAAAAGCUUACCAAGCCGACGAUCUGUAGCUGGUCUGAGAGGACGACCAGCCACACUGGGACUGAGACACGGCCCAGACUCCUACGGGAGGCAGCAGUGGGGAAUUUUGGACAAUGGGCGAAAGCCUGAUCCAGCCAUGCCGCGUGCAGGAUGAAGGCCUUCGGGUUGUAAACUGCUUUUGUACGGAACGAAAAGACUCCUUCUAAUAAAGGGGGUCCAUGACGGUACCGUAAGAAUAAGCACCGGCUAACUACGUGCCAGCAGCCGCGGUAAUACGUAGGGUGCAAGCGUUAAUCGGAAUUACUGGGCGUAAAGCGUGCGCAGGCGGUUAUAUAAGACAGAUGUGAAAUCCCCGGGCUCAACCUGGGAACUGCAUUUGUGACUGUAUAGCUAGAGUACGGUAGAGGGGGAUGGAAUUCCGCGUGUAGCAGUGAAAUGCGUAGAUAUGCGGAGGAACACCGAUGGCGAAGGCAAUCCCCUGGACCUGUACUGACGCUCAUGCGCGAAAGCGUGGGGAGCAAACAGGAUUAGAUACCCCGGUAGUCCAA